AAAUCUAAUAGAAUACAAUAGACAACAAGUUUUAAAUCAAUAUUCGCAGCGGAAAUAAUAAUUCAUUAGAAGAGUUAAGUAGAGAAUGCAAACUACUAUCUUCUAUGUAUGAAUUUAAAAGUUCAUCGUCUAUCUUUUAUUCCUGUAACAUCAAUCAAUAUAUAUCUGGAAUCAAAUAUUCAUCUUUGCACUACAGGCCAAAGAUAUUC
Molecule: long non-coding RNA, 209 nt
Filed under: Panax ginseng (ginseng)
Lineage: Eukaryota; Viridiplantae; Streptophyta; Magnoliopsida; Apiales; Araliaceae
Description: long non-coding RNA (PGIN_LNC004700)
Source: RNAcentral